Molecule: transfer RNA, 84 nt
Organism: Pyrenochaeta sp. DS3sAY3a
Lineage: Eukaryota; Fungi; Ascomycota; Dothideomycetes; Pleosporales; Cucurbitariaceae
Rfam family: tRNA
About the family: Transfer RNA (tRNA) molecules are approximately 80 nucleotides in length. Their secondary structure includes four short double-helical elements and three loops (D, anti-codon, and T loops).
Source: Rfam
GGCAAGAUGGCCGAGCGGUCUAAGGCGUUGGCUUCAGGUGCCAAUCAACAUUCGUUGGCGUGGGUUCGAAUCCCACUCUUGUCA